This 279-nucleotide ribosomal RNA is filed under the name uncultured bacterium. Its description in RNAcentral is "partial 16S ribosomal RNA". It matches the Rfam family "Bacterial small subunit ribosomal RNA", at positions 506 to 784 of the family's 1533-position model. The record is from RNAcentral.
UGCCAGCAGCCGCGGUAAUACUGAAGGUGCAAGCGUUAAUCGGAAUCACUGGGCGUAAAGCGUACGUAGGCGGCGUAUCAAGUCAGAUGUGAAAGCCCAGGGCUCAACCCUGGAAUUGCAUUUGAUACUGCAUCGCUAGAGUAUAGGAGAGGGAAGUGGAAUUUCUGGUGUAGGAGUGAAAUCCGUAGAGAUCAGAAGGAACACCCGUGGCGAAGGCGACUUCCUGGACUAUUACUGACACUGAGGAGCGAAAGCGUGGGGAGCAAACAGGAUUAGAUA